Molecule: ribosomal RNA, 472 nt
Filed under: uncultured bacterium
Lineage: Bacteria
Description: partial 16S ribosomal RNA
Rfam family: Bacterial small subunit ribosomal RNA
Source: RNAcentral
GACGAACGCUGGCGGCGUGCUUAACACAUGCAAGUCGAACGAUGAACCCGGAGCUUGCUCGGGGGGAUUAGUGGCGAACGGGUGAGUAACACGUGAGUAACCUGCCCUGGACUCUGGGAUAAGCGUUGGAAACGACGGCUAAUACCGGAUAGGACCUUGGAUCGCAUGAUCUGGGGUGGAAAGUUUCUUCGGUCUGGGAUGGACUCGCGGCCUAUCAGCUUGUUGGUGAGGUAGUGGCUCACCAAGGCGUCGACGGGUAGCCGGCCUGAGAGGGUGACCGGCCACACUGGGACUGAGACACGGCCCAGACUCCUACGGGAGGCAGCAGUGGGGAAUAUUGCACAAUGGGCGAAAGCCUGAUGCAGCAACGCCGCGUGCGGGAUGACGGCCUUCGGGUUGUAAACCGCUUUUAGUAGGGAAGAAGGGCUUCGGCUUGACGGUACCUGCAGAAAAAGGACCGGCUAACUACGUG